UCCUACGGGGGGCAGCAGUGAGGGAUAUUGGUCAAUGGGGGAAACCCUGAACCAGCAACGCCGCGUGAGGGAAGACGGUUUUCGGAUUGUAAACCUCUGUCCUCUGUGAAGAUAAUGACGGUAGCAGAGGAGGAAGCUCCGGCCAACUACGUGCCAGCAGCCGCGGUAAUACGUAGGGGGCAAGCGUUAUCCGGAUUUACUGGGUGUAAAGGGAGCGUAGACGGCAGUGCAAGUCUGGAGUGAAAGGCGGGGGCUCAACCCCCGGACUGCUCUGGAAACUGUACGGCUGGAGUGCAGGAGAGGUA
RNAcentral lists this ribosomal RNA (305 nucleotides) under uncultured bacterium. Its description in RNAcentral is "bacterial SSU rRNA". It matches the Rfam family "Bacterial small subunit ribosomal RNA", at positions 337 to 659 of the family's 1533-position model. The record is from RNAcentral.